RNAcentral lists this ribosomal RNA (469 nucleotides) under Allium scorodoprasum. RNAcentral's name for it is "eukaryotic LSU rRNA". The stretch from base 329 to 469 matches the Rfam family "Eukaryotic large subunit ribosomal RNA", at positions 1 to 141 of the family's 3401-position model. The record is from RNAcentral. Lineage: Eukaryota; Viridiplantae; Streptophyta; Magnoliopsida; Asparagales; Amaryllidaceae.
UGCAGAAUCCCGUGAACCAUCGAGUCUUUGAAUGCAAGUUGCGCACGAGGCCAUUAGGUCGAGUGCACGUCUGUUUGGGCGUCAUGUAUAGCGUCAUUCCAAUCUCCCACAUGCGACGAGUGCGGUUUGGGUGAUGAUGGAUAUGGAGAAUGACCUUCCGUUCUUUAAUUGUACGGUAGGUUUAAGUGAUUGUCGUUGCCAGGUUUAUGCGAGGCGAAUGGUGUGUCGAGUUAACGCACGAUGUCUCUAAUCGCGUCCGUGAGACCUAGGCAUGACUUAACUAAUCGAAACCGAUUUCGAUGUUUGCUUCGNUGGCAAGCUCGGACCAUGACCUCAGAUCAGACGGGGCGACCCGCUGAGUUUAAGCAUAUCAAUAAGCGGAGGAGAAGAAACUUACGAAGAUUCCCUUAGUAACGGCGAGCGAAUCGGGAAAAGCCCAGCUUGAAAAUUAGGCGGCUGUGUCGUCUAA